RNAcentral lists this ribosomal RNA (203 nucleotides) under uncultured bacterium. Its description in RNAcentral is "partial 16S ribosomal RNA". It matches the Rfam family "Bacterial small subunit ribosomal RNA", at positions 1298 to 1500 of the family's 1533-position model. The record is from RNAcentral.
UUGUAGUCUGCAACCCGACUACAUGAAGCUGGAAUCGCUAGUAAUCGCGAAUCAGAAUGUCGCGGUGAAUACGUUCCCGGGUCUUGUACACACCGCCCGUCACACCAUGGGAGUCGGAAAUGCCCGAAGUCAGUGACCCAACCGUAAGGAGGGAGCUGCCGAAGGUGGAGCCGGUAACUGGGGUGAAGUCGUAACAAGGUAAC